ACGAAUACAUAAUGAGAGAAAGCAAAUAAGCACAAAUUUGGAUUAAGGAUUUCAUUUACUCCCCACGAGGAUGCGGAGUUCAACUGCUCAUGAUGUCGAUCCUACUUGCCACCGCCAACUGAUCCAUCUUCGUUGAACACUUGAGAAAGGGUGAAGAAGAAAAUUGCUCAAAACUCUUAAAUCCUCUGCGCUCCACACUCCCCAAAAAUUGUGCACUCCCUCCUCUCAGCCCUCCAAAGGAAACCAUGCGCUCUAAUCUUUGUGGGUUCCCCUCUCCUCGCGCUCACAAACCUGCGUGCCCCGAGAUCCCUAAAAACCUGUGCACUCCAAAUUCUUCUAUUUUCAGCAUCCCCAAAAGCUCCCUUUCGCAUCCAACUCCCUUUCGCGUCCAACCCCCUCUCAUGCUUUUUUUAAUCCUCUAUGCUUCCGCGUGCCAUGCACAUCUUUUGCGCAUCCACAUCGUUCAUCAAGCAUGGAGUCCCCAAGGAUUGGAUGUGCUAAGUGAC
Molecule: long non-coding RNA, 506 nt
Filed under: Elaeis guineensis (African oil palm)
Lineage: Eukaryota; Viridiplantae; Streptophyta; Magnoliopsida; Arecales; Arecaceae
Description: long non-coding RNA (EGUI_LNC034716)
Source: RNAcentral